Molecule: ribosomal RNA, 244 nt
Filed under: uncultured bacterium
Lineage: Bacteria
Description: partial 16S ribosomal RNA
Rfam family: Bacterial small subunit ribosomal RNA
Source: RNAcentral
AUGGCGACCGGCGCACGGGUGAGUAACACGUAUCCAACCUGCCGAUGACUCGGGGAUAGCCUUUCGAAGAAAGAUUAAUACCCGAUGGCAUAGUUCUUCCGCAUGGUAGAACUAUUAAAGAAUUUCGGUCAUCGAUGGGGAUGCGUUCCAUUAGGUUGUUGGCGGGGUAACGGCCCACCAAGCCUUCGAUGGACAGGGGUUCUGAGAGGAAGGUCCCCCACAUUGGAACUGAGACACGGUCCAA